This 1691-nucleotide long non-coding RNA is filed under the name Sus scrofa (pig). RNAcentral's name for it is "lncRNA (ENSSSCG00040050526.1)". The record is from RNAcentral. Lineage: Eukaryota; Metazoa; Chordata; Mammalia; Artiodactyla; Suidae.
GUCACUUUUUUUUUUUUUUUUUUUUUUUUUUUUAAGAGUUUAUUAAUCCAUUUUUUUCAAUUUUUGAACAACUGCUUUUUUCUUGUUUCCAUUAGCAUUAACUUUUAAAGCAAUAUAUUAUCAUACCAAACCACACAUAUAAAUAUAAGUGUUGCCUCCCCAAAUUCAGAAGGCUCCUCAUCUUUUCUUCUGUCACCACCCUCAGCUCAGCCAUCCUGAAACUGGCUUCACAGUGAGCAGGUCCCAUCAAUUCUUUGGACAGCAUCAUCUUAGCACCAAUAUCUGAAAGGAAAGAAACCCUAGCCUCCAUCUCAGGGAACACCAAAGAAACUAAGAGUUCAGAACACUGGAGAUGACACAUAGAUACUUUGUUUUCUUUUAAACAUAUAAUAAUAAAAUGUAGCAUAUAGACAAAGUUGAAAAAAUCCUGUUAUUUUCUCCAUUUGAGCUUCCAAUUUGAAUUUAUUUUCCCUUUAUAUUUUUUCUUCCUCUGGUACCUUUGUAUAUUUAUGGGGCAACAUUUUUAGUAAAAAAACUGUAGUUUCACACAGGCUCCUGGGUAUAUACAGUGGCUUGUAUGGACUCACAAGUGUCCACAUUGCAUAUCCUUUCCCAGUUCUGCACUCAAUGAUAGCACAUUCAUAGCUUGCAGUCAGCCAGAGUGGAAGUAGUAUUUACACCAUGGAAAUUGGCAAACACCAUCAAUCAGGAUUUUCCACCCAGAAGGCCAGUUUUUAAGCAUUUGCCAGGAAAACUCUGGGUAUACACCUCAUUUUUCCCCAAAGCGGUCAAAAUGUCAGAACAUAAAACCAAUUGACAUAUACAAUUAUCAGAGUAAUAUGCCAAACAUCAUGAGAAUUCCCACUCAAGAAAUUUACAUAGAGUAGCUUUUGGAGUUUUAUGUCAUUUUUGUAACAUUCACUGCAUAGUGCUCCCCGGAAACAACCCUUAAAGGACAAAAAAUACAAUUGGAUUACAGUACAUUUUAGUUAUCAUUCCAUUUAGUUAUUCACCAGUUUCAAGUAAUUUCCAGAUAUUUUUGAUCCAUCCCCAGAGGGCUUUAUUUCCACAACAGACAACAUAGAAAAUUCAGUAAUUUCUAGUUAUUAACAUUGCUGUGCUUAUACCCAGGGUUUUUUUUACAUGAAUAAAUAUACACCGCGCUCUCUCCUCAGUGUCACCUUCUGCAGUAACAGUGUAUCUUCUGGAUGAUAUGGAGGAUAGAACCCAGCAAGCUUGGAGCAUGGGGUCUGGCUUUGCCAAAAGCUAAAACAGGCUAAAGGAAUAUGAAGUUUCCUCCUUGGGUCUUACUGGAGUGGGGCUGGCCCACUAAGUUGUUCUUUCUAGUUGUCUGUCAUGGCACCCCUGGCUUUAUUCCCAGGAAUGUAAUGUCCUCGGAUAUCUCAUGGUUGGAAACUCUUCAUAGUAGAGGUUCUCAUUUUGUUGUUUGUUUAGCACCUGAAUUUGGGCAGGAAAUAUUUCUCCCUGAAGGCUCUGAGUAGUUCAAUUCCCCUGCCUUUGUAUUGCCACUUCCACAGAGAACUGGCCUCCCCACGUGAAGAAGCAGGAUGCUCUGGCUUCGCCCUCCCGCUGCCUUGGAACAGUACUUGGCCAGGUUCCUCUUUCCAGGAGCAUGGUUUUCUGAGCUAAAGCUCAGCUGAAUCGAGCAUGCUUCCCCACUUCUCCUGGCA